CCUACGGGGGGCAGCAGUGGGGAAUAUUGCACAAUGGGGGAAACCCUGAUGCAGCGACGCCGCGUGAGUGAAGAAGGAUGUCGGGAUGGAAAGCUCUAUCAGCAGGGAAGAAAAUGACGGUACCUGAGUAAGAAGCCCCGGCUAACUACGUGCCAGCAGCCGCGGUAAUACGUAGGGGGCAAGCGUUAUCCGGAUUUACUGGGUGUAAAGGGAGCGUAGACGGCAGCACAAGUCUGGAGUGAAAUGCCGGGGCUUAACCCCGGAACUGCUUUGGAAACUGUGCAGCUAGAGUGCAGGAGAGGUAAGUGUCAUUCCUUGUGUAGCGGUGAUAUGCGUAGAUCUUAGGAGGAACACCAGUGGCGAAGGCGGCUUACUGGACUGUAACUGACGUUGAGGCUCGAAAGCGUGGGGAGCAAACAGGAUUAGAUACCCCUGUAGUC
This 440-nucleotide ribosomal RNA is filed under the name uncultured bacterium. RNAcentral describes it as "partial 16S ribosomal RNA". It matches the Rfam family "Bacterial small subunit ribosomal RNA", at positions 338 to 795 of the family's 1533-position model. The record is from RNAcentral.